Haliotis rubra (blacklip abalone) is the source of this 699-nucleotide long non-coding RNA. RefSeq lists it as uncharacterized. Lineage: Eukaryota; Metazoa; Mollusca; Gastropoda; Lepetellida; Haliotidae. The transcript is spliced from 5 exons. The record is from RefSeq and is a predicted model, not a curated record.
CAGAUUCAUUCUUGUCAUGAGAACAAUACGACACAAGGCUCUCAGCUACAUAUGUAAUACAACUGAUAGAUCUUCAAAAGGAACCAUUGCAGGUUUAAAUGGCAAAACGAGACGACUACUUUUGAAUAUGCAUGUAAGCAUGUAUAUCGAGGUCGGGUCGACCCGCCUUUACAGUCACGUAUACCGACAGGUAAGCAAUCGAAUCGUUUGAACUUUAGCCGACGUUUCAGCAAUGGAAAAACACAACCUCUGGAGUAAUGGUCUAUACAUAGAUGUAGGUAAUGUUCAUGCGCAGUGUUAUCCUUCCAUAGCCUCUAUCGUCGUCAGUUGUAAACCAUAGCUACCUCUAAUAACAAGAGGUAUUUCGUACAGAGGAGAAACUAACUUAUCAACUGUGUUAUAUUGUUGAUAAGUACCAACAUUCUUCCGUGGUUACAACUGGGAAUGCUGCUUGCUGUUAGAAGCUUUGUUGAACCGAGAUAUAUAAGGAGUACAGGAUAAAGGAUAUAUGAGGAGUCAUGUUCAAGACACGAAGUUUUCAUAUGGCAAAUAAUUAUAUGCUUUUGGGACUGUUACCAGUCGUAAUAUUAGCAGUACACGCAGAUGCUACCAAGAUACAGAGUCCCAACUGUGCCAGACGGGGCAGUGGUCAGUGUGUGGAGUGUUACUACGGGUGGCAUGGCCGUGAGUGUGAGAGGG